Molecule: ribosomal RNA, 365 nt
Filed under: Streptomyces sp. PC4007
Lineage: Bacteria; Bacillati; Actinomycetota; Actinomycetes; Kitasatosporales; Streptomycetaceae
Description: bacterial SSU rRNA
Rfam family: Bacterial small subunit ribosomal RNA
Source: RNAcentral
UCGACGAUGAACCGGUUUCGGCCGGGGAUUAGUGGCGAACGGGUGAGUCUACACGUGGGCAAUCUGCCCUGCACUCUGGGACAAGCCCUGGAAACGGGGUCUAAUACCGGAUAUGACUACCGACCGCAUGGUCUGGUGGUGGAAAGCUCCGGCGGUGCAGGAUGAGCCCGCGGCCUAUCAGCUUGUUGGUGGGGUGAUGGCCUACCAAGGCGACGACGGGUAGCCGGCCUGAGAGGGCGACCGGCCACACUGGGACUGAGACACGGCCCAGACUCCUACGGGAGGCAGCAGUGGGGAAUAUUGCACAAUGGGCGAAAGCCUGAUGCAGCGACGCCGCGUGAGGGAUGACGGCCUUCGGGUUGUAA